CCUACGGGUGGCAGCAGUGAGGAAUAUUGGUCAAUGGCCGGAAGGCUGAACCAGCCAUGCCGCGUGAAGGUCAGUGCCCUAUGGGCGUUAAACUUCUUUUGUGCGGGAGCAAUAAUGGUCACGUGUGGCCAGACGAGAGUACCGUACGAAUAAGCAUCGGCUAACUCCGGGCCAGCAGCCGCGGUAAUACGGGGGAUGCAAGCGUUAUCCGGAUUUAUUGGGUUUAAAGGGUGCGUAGGCUGUGAGGUAAGUCAGCGGUGAAAUGCCCCCGCUCAACGGGGUGAAGUGCCAUUGAUACUGCCUGGCUGGAAUGCGGAUGCCGUGGGAGGAAUGUGUGGUGUAGCGGUGAAAUGCAUAGAUAUCACACAGAACACCGAUUGCGAAGGCAUCUCACGAAUCCGCGAUUGACGCUGAUGCACGAAAGCGUGGGUAUCAAACAGGAUUAGAUACCCUAGUAGUC
Molecule: ribosomal RNA, 460 nt
Filed under: uncultured bacterium
Lineage: Bacteria
Description: partial 16S ribosomal RNA
Rfam family: Bacterial small subunit ribosomal RNA
Source: RNAcentral